This 306-nucleotide ribosomal RNA is filed under the name uncultured bacterium. RNAcentral's name for it is "partial 16S ribosomal RNA". It matches the Rfam family "Bacterial small subunit ribosomal RNA", at positions 507 to 807 of the family's 1533-position model. The record is from RNAcentral.
GACAGCAGUAGCCGCGGGAAUACAGAGGGUGCGAGCGUUAAUCGGAUUUACUGGGCGUAAAGCGUGCGUAGGCGGCUUCUUAAGUCGGAUGUGAAAUCCCUGAGCUUAACUUAGGAAUUGCAUUCGAUACUGGGAAGCUAGAGUAUGGGAGAGGAUGGUAGAAUUCCAGGUGUAGCGGUGAAAUGCGUAGAGAUCUGGAGGAAUACCGAUGGCGAAGGCAGCCAUCUGGCCUAAUACUGACGCUGAGGUACGAAAGCAUGGGGAGCAAACAGGAUUAGAGACCCGAGUAGUCCCUGUCUCUUAUAC